Molecule: unclassified non-coding RNA, 161 nt
Filed under: uncultured fungus
Lineage: Eukaryota; Fungi
Also listed under: 1 other name
Description: sequence contains ITS1, 5.8S rRNA gene
Source: RNAcentral
UAGAGUUACCAAACUCCAAACCCAUGUGAACUUACCAGUUUGUUGCCUCGGCAGGCCUCCGCAUCUCGUCUCCGGGCGGGUACGGAUCUCACAGGUCUGCCGGUGGUCCAUUAAACUCAUGAAUUACCCUGUAAAUCUGAGCGUUUUAAACAAAUAAGUUA